CAGUAGCCGCGGUAAUACGUAGGGUGCGAGCGUUAAUCGGAAUUACUGGGCGUAAAGCGUGCGCAGGCGGUUUUGUAAGACAGGCGUGAAAUCCCCGGGCUCAACCUGGGAAUGGCGCUUGUGACUGCAAAGCUAGAGUGCGGCAGAGGGGGAUGGAAUUCCGCGUGUAGCAGUGAGAUGCGUAGAUAUGCGGAGGAACACCGAUGGCGAAGGCAAUCCCCUGGGCCUGCACUGACGCUCAUGCACGAAAGCGUGGGGAGCAAACAGGAUUAGAUACCCGUGUAGUCCCUGUCUCUUAUAC
RNAcentral lists this ribosomal RNA (301 nucleotides) under uncultured bacterium. RNAcentral's name for it is "partial 16S ribosomal RNA". It matches the Rfam family "Bacterial small subunit ribosomal RNA", at positions 509 to 807 of the family's 1533-position model. The record is from RNAcentral.